AGGAUUGCUUGAACCUGGGAGGUGGAGGUUGCAGUGAGCUGAGAUCACGCCACUGCACUCCAGCCUGGG
RNAcentral lists this microRNA precursor (69 nucleotides) under Rhinopithecus bieti (black snub-nosed monkey). Its description in RNAcentral is "miRNA (ENSRBIG00000015449.1)". The record is from RNAcentral. Lineage: Eukaryota; Metazoa; Chordata; Mammalia; Primates; Cercopithecidae.